ACUCAAAUGAAUUGACGGGGACUUGCACAAGCAGAGGAUUAUGUGGUUUAAUUCGAUGAUAAACGAAGAAUCUUACCAAGGUUUGAAACCUAGCUGAACCCAAGCAGAAACGUUUGGGGUCCCACAAGGACAGUUAGGCAGGUGAUGCAUGGCCGUCGUCAGUUCGUGAUUUGAAUUGUUCCCUUAAGUGGGGUAACGAACGCAACCCUCGUUGUCUGUUAUACGUAUCAGGCGAGACUGCCCAGCUUUCAGUGUUCGAAUUUAUUUUAAAUUCGAGUUUUGAAAGCUGGGAGGAAGGCGAGGAUGACGCCAGGUCAGCAUGUCCCUUUGAUACCUUGGGCUACACACAUAAUACAAUGGCGACUACAACGCGUUGCGACGGGGAAACCCUGAGCCAAUCGUAAUAAAAGUCGCCCCAGUUCAGAUUGGGGGCUGAAACUCGACCCCAUGAAGUUGGAUUUGCUAGUAAUCGCGGGUCAGACAUACCGCGGUGAAUACGUUCUCAAGUCUUGUACACACCGCCCGU
This 526-nucleotide ribosomal RNA is filed under the name uncultured bacterium. Its description in RNAcentral is "partial 16S ribosomal RNA". It matches the Rfam family "Bacterial small subunit ribosomal RNA", at positions 899 to 1397 of the family's 1533-position model. The record is from RNAcentral.